Non-coding RNA from Podarcis lilfordi (Lilford's wall lizard), 172 nucleotides. The record is from the annotation of a GenBank genome assembly. NCBI's taxonomy places the organism in Eukaryota, Metazoa, Chordata, Lepidosauria, Squamata, Lacertidae.
AACUAAGUUUGUUAUUGGUAUGAGCUUUCGUGUGCAUGAACACUUCUUCAGAUACACUGAAACAGAAGUCACCAGACCCUUAUAUAUAGUGAGAGAGUCUGGUGACUUCUGUCUCAGUGUAUCUGAAGAAGUGCAUGCACAUGAAAGCUCAUACCUGUAUCAAUAACAAACU